AUGAACUUCUGCCUUCUGUGGAAAGGACUGAAGAUGGAAAAAAGCAUGGAAAAGAGGAAGGGGGAAGAUAAAGGAGAGGAAGAGGCAAAAGAGGAAGGGUAUAGUCAGGAUACACCAUGACACUGGUUGUCACAUCUCUGAAGACACCAGUUGGCUGUUAUGGUUUCUCAUGUGUUUCUUGUCCUGGAACCUUGGUACUCAGGUAUCUAGCAUUAAAUUGAAAUGUCUGAUAUUUC
Arvicola amphibius (Eurasian water vole) is the source of this 236-nucleotide long non-coding RNA. RefSeq lists it as uncharacterized. The transcript is spliced from 2 exons. Lineage: Eukaryota; Metazoa; Chordata; Mammalia; Rodentia; Cricetidae. The record is from RefSeq and is a predicted model, not a curated record.